RNAcentral lists this long non-coding RNA (687 nucleotides) under Gossypium barbadense (sea-island cotton). Its description in RNAcentral is "long non-coding RNA (GBAR_LNC000524)". The record is from RNAcentral. Lineage: Eukaryota; Viridiplantae; Streptophyta; Magnoliopsida; Malvales; Malvaceae.
AACCAUCCGCUAAAUUGCUUUUUCUUUUUUUACUUUGUUCUUAUCCCUUUCCAGAUCUUUUUCUUCUCUCUUUUCAGAAACUUUUACAAACCUAGUUUUCCGAUCAAUUUUCCCACGAGUUUAUCAUUAUUUGUUGUCGCCGACCAACUUCUUUCACUCUCCAAAAACUAUCAGAAAUAGACGUUCAUCUUCUCUCUUUGAUAAUCUAAUUAUUUUCUUCUAAAUCAACCUCUAAAAUAGCAAAUCUAAUUUUAAAGAGAAAAAAAAAUAAAAAUCCCAACUUUUCACUUCUAUGUCUCUACUGGAGAUCAUCGACCGUUUUUAGAUGAUUGCAUGUUUGUGUUUGAGGAAGAUGCUGAUUUUAUGGUCUUCUUUGUUUGCUCACAGGAGAGAUUACCUUGUAACCUGCUAUUCCUGUUGGAUUGAAAGCUGAUUUUGUAAGGUAAGAACGAGUAAUUUCCACUAAAACUCCAACUUGCAAUGGAACUGUUGUCAUCCUGUCUUGCCUAUUUGAUCAAGACUUUCCUUCCUGUCUUAGGAAAGAAAGUGUUUAGGACUAUUGACUCGGCUUGGGAAGAAGUCAAAACAUCGACAACAUAAAUAUGGAUUCUGCAGUUGGGCACUUUUAAGGACUCGAAAUGGCUCGUUAAGUUUCUUUUUUUUCCCGAUAAGUUGUGCUCUGGCAUU